RNAcentral lists this ribosomal RNA (231 nucleotides) under Triticum aestivum (bread wheat). RNAcentral's name for it is "partial small subunit ribosomal RNA". Lineage: Eukaryota; Viridiplantae; Streptophyta; Magnoliopsida; Poales; Poaceae. The record is from RNAcentral.
AUGACGUGCUUGACCAAGGAGGCAAAGGAUAUCCGGACUUUGACAUCCCUGGUCAUGUGGGAGCUCUGGAAGCACCGGAAUGCGAUUGUUUUUGACAAUGCAACGCCCUCGAUUGGUAGUGUACUUGCGAGAGUAGAAAGUGAGGCUCGAUCAUGGACGGCAGCAGGGUUGUUUAAGGGAGACACAUGGCCUUUCCUCGGGUCUCUAGCUAGGUGGCUCGCCAUAGGGUAG